RNAcentral lists this ribosomal RNA (646 nucleotides) under uncultured bacterium. RNAcentral describes it as "SSU rRNA". It matches the Rfam family "Bacterial small subunit ribosomal RNA", at positions 253 to 915 of the family's 1533-position model. The record is from RNAcentral.
GGGGGUAUGAGCCUACCAAGGCGACGAUCGGUAGCUGGUCUGAGAGGACGAUCAGCCACACUGGGAUUGAGAACGGCCCAGACUCCUACGGGGGGCAGCAGUGAGGAAUUUUCCGCAAUGGACGCAAGUCUGACGGAGCAACGCCGCGUGCAGGAGGACGCUUUUCGGAGUGUAAACUGCUUUUCUGUGGGAAGAGGAUGGACGGUACCACAGGAAGAAGCCCCGGCUAACUACGUGCCAGCAGCCGCGGUAAUACGUAGGGGGCGAGCGUUGUCCGGAGUUACUGGGCGUAAAGGGCAUGCAGGCGGUCGGACGCGUUUUGUGUGACAGCGGGUGGCUUAACUACCCGAGUAUGCGAAAGACGGUCUGACUUGAGGGCUCGAGAGGGACACGGAAUUCCGGGUGGAGUGGUGAAAUGCGUAGAGAUCCGGAGGAACACCGAAGGCGAAGGCAGUGUCCUGGCGAGUGACUGACGCUGAGGUGCGAAAGCUAGGGGAGCGAACGGGAUUAGAUACCCCGGUAGUCCUAGCCGUAAACGAUGACCACCAGGUGUGGGAGGUAUCGACCCCUUCCGUGCCGGAGUAAACACACUAAGUGGUCCGCCUGGGGAGUACGGUCGCAAGAUUAAAACUCAAAGGAAUUGACG